This 492-nucleotide ribosomal RNA is filed under the name uncultured bacterium. Its description in RNAcentral is "partial 16S ribosomal RNA". It matches the Rfam family "Bacterial small subunit ribosomal RNA", at positions 29 to 507 of the family's 1533-position model. The record is from RNAcentral.
AGUGAACGCUGGCGGUAGGCCUAACACAUGCAAGUCGAACGGCAGCACAGUAAGAGCUUGCUCUUACGGGUGGCGAGUGGCGGACGGGUGAGGAAUACAUCGGAAUCUACUUUUUCGUGGGGGAUAACGUAGGGAAACUUACGCUAAUACCGCAUACGACCUACGGGUGAAAGCAGGGGAUCUUCGGACCUUGCGCGAUUGAAUGAGCCGAUGUCGGAUUAGCUAGUUGGCGGGGUAAAGGCCCACCAAGGCGACGAUCCGUAGCUGGUCUGAGAGGAUGGUCAGCCACACGGGAACUGAGACACGGUCCAGACUCCUACGGGAGGCAGCAGUGGGGAAUAUUGGACAGAGGGCGCGAGCCUUAUCCAGCCAUACCGCGUGGGUGAAGAAGGCCUUCGGGUUGUAAAGCCCUUUUGUUGGGAAAGAAAAGCAGCAGGUUAAUACCCCGCUGUUCUGACGGUACCCAAAGAAUAAGCACCGGCUAACUUCGUG